Molecule: non-coding RNA, 28 nt
Filed under: Mus musculus (house mouse)
Lineage: Eukaryota; Metazoa; Chordata; Mammalia; Rodentia; Muridae
Source: RNAcentral
UGGUAGAAAGUCACCUGGGAUUUGCCAU